UACGUAGGUGGCAAGCGUUGUCCGGAUUUACUGGGCGUAAAGAGCGCGCAGGCGGUCGCUCAAGUCGCGUGUGAAAGCCCCCGGCUCAACCGGGGAAGUGCCUCUGAUACUGGUCGUCUCGAGGGAGGUAGGGGCGUGCGGAACUUCCGGUGGAGCGGUGAAAUGCGUAGAUAUCGGAAGGAACACCGGUGGCGAAAGCGGCGCGCUGGACCUCUUCUGACGCUGAGGCGCGAAAGCCAGGGGAGCGAACGGG
This 253-nucleotide ribosomal RNA is filed under the name uncultured bacterium. RNAcentral describes it as "partial 16S ribosomal RNA". It matches the Rfam family "Bacterial small subunit ribosomal RNA", at positions 524 to 776 of the family's 1533-position model. The record is from RNAcentral.